UGGAUCCAGACUUUGAUUAUGGCUCAGGAUGAACGCUAGCUACAGGCUUAACACAUGCAAGUCGAGGGGAAACGAUAUUGGAAGCUUGCUUCCGAUAGGCGUCGACCGGCGCACGGGUGAGUAACGCGUAUCCAACCUGCCCAUCACUUGGGAAUAACCUUGCGAAAGUAAGACUAAUGCCCAAUGACAUUUAUAGAAGGCAUCUGAAAUGAAUUAAAGAUUUAUCGGUGAUGGAUGGGGAUGCGUCUGAUUAGCUUGUUGGCGGGGUAACGGCCCACCAAGGCGACGAUCAGUAGGGGUUCUGAGAGGAAGGUCCCCCACAUUGGAACUGAGACACGGUCCAAACUCCUACGGGAGGCAGCAGUGAGGAAUAUUGGUCAAUGGGCGAGAGCCUGAACCAGCCAAGUAGCGUGCAGGAUGACGGCCCUAUGGGUUGUAAACUGCUUUUAUAGGGGAAUAAAGUGAGCCACGUGUGGUUUUUUGCAUGUACCCUAUGAAUAA
Molecule: ribosomal RNA, 501 nt
Filed under: uncultured organism
Description: bacterial SSU rRNA
Rfam family: Bacterial small subunit ribosomal RNA
Source: RNAcentral